UUAAACAAAAGUCCUUUUAAUCCUAUUCUGUAUUAGAGCCCAAGGUGAGGGAUUUGAUUUUGUGGUUCAUACAAUUGGAGAACGCGGUGUCGCGGAGACAGUAACUGCUAUUGAAAAUGCUAAAGUCUCCAAUUUGAGCCGGCAUAGGUUGACCCACCUGGAGAUAGUAAAUGAUGCAGAUAUGACACGAAUGGCAAAUU
Molecule: long non-coding RNA, 200 nt
Organism: Eurytemora carolleeae
Lineage: Eukaryota; Metazoa; Arthropoda; Copepoda; Calanoida; Temoridae
Exons: 3
Source: RefSeq, a predicted model, not a curated record